This 237-nucleotide long non-coding RNA is filed under the name Vicia faba (fava bean). The record is from RNAcentral. Lineage: Eukaryota; Viridiplantae; Streptophyta; Magnoliopsida; Fabales; Fabaceae.
AUGGAAUCGAAGACGAAACCCACACCAGAACACAAGGACAGCGUCGUCGUUCACCUCUAUGCGAGCGAGCGUUUCAGUCACCUUCUUUCUUCACAGAACCCCGUGUCAGAAGACAAAAAACACUACACUCAAACAAUUAAGAUUUACACAAAGAAACUGAAAGAUAUAGAACCUGGAUUUGAAGAAGACAUAUUUAGAGAGUCGGAGAUGAGGCUGCUAAACUAUUUUUCUGAUUGA